AGUGAACGCUGGCGGUAGGCCUAACACAUGCAAGUCGAACGGCAGCACAGUAAGAGCUUGCUCUUACGGGUGGCGAGUGGCGGACGGGUGAGGAAUACAUCGGAAUCUACUUUUUUGUGGGGGAUAACGUAGGGAAACUUACGCUAAUACCGCAUACGACCUACGGGUGAAAGCAGGGGAUCUUCGGACCUUGCGCGAUUGAAUGAGCCGAUGUCGGAUUAGCUAGUUGGCGGGGUAAAGGCCCACCAAGGCGACGAUCCGUAGCUGGUCUGAGAGGAUUAUCAGCCACACUGGAACUGAGACACGGUCCAGACUCCUACGGGAGGCAGCAGUGGGGAAUAUUGGACAAUGGGCGCAAGCCUGAUCCAGCCAUACCGCGCGGGUGAAGAAGGCCUUCGGGUUGUAAAGCCCUUUUGUUGGGAAAGAAAAGCAGCAGGUUAAUACCCCGCUGUUCUGACGGUACCCAAAGAAUAAGCACCGGCUAACUUCGUG
This 492-nucleotide ribosomal RNA is filed under the name uncultured bacterium. Its description in RNAcentral is "partial 16S ribosomal RNA". It matches the Rfam family "Bacterial small subunit ribosomal RNA", at positions 29 to 507 of the family's 1533-position model. The record is from RNAcentral.